UUAAAUAAAGUAAUCAAAAGUAGGUACCUACAUAUGAAAGCAAUUAUUGGACUGAGUGGCUAGAAGUUCUCCAAAAACAUUCUGGGCAUACAUUAGUUGAUUUCUUAGUCCCUACUAUUCCUUAUUGUUAUCUAUAAUUCAGUUAGUCAUAACUCAUAAUCAUAAUAUUGAUACGAAAAAUAAAAAUUUAUUUAUUUAUAAAAAAAUAUAUUAUAAUUUACAACUACUGAAGAAUUACAAAAUGAGUUUUUGUUUAACUAUUUUUAUAAUAGCUGCUGCUGUCAUUGAUAAAUAAAUUGUCCUAUAGUGUUAGUCGUUAAAGUUUUUUUGCUCAAUUGUUUUCCACAGAUAGUUAUACAGAGUUAUUUAUAUCAUACAUACCCGAAUAACUCAUAAAUUGUAUUACAAAAAAAUAUCUUUUUGUUAUGUUUUAAAUAUUUUUCAGUAGAGGGGUGUGGAAUGAAAGCUCCCUAGAGCCCCUUCACUACACUAAUUAAAAUGUUGUUAUAGGGGUUUCCAACUACUCCUUUUCAGAUAUUUUUCUCUGAUUGUACCUAUAAUAGUACAAUAAUGUAUAUAUAUAACGUUCAAUUCGGUUUAGAUGAAUAAACACGUAAGAAAUAGAAACAUUAAAAUAAAUCAUGAUACAAUAUUAUAUAAAAACUUUAUAUUGAUGAACUUUAAAUAUUUUAAUACUUGGCCAUAAAUUUUUAUUACCAAGAACGACGUUUGCUUGCCCUACUCGGUUUUACUCUGCAGCUGUUGUUCGAUAUUAUUCACUAGCUAGGCCUGAUCCCAAUAUCGGGCUCAGUACGGCACGGCACUAUAAUGAUGGACAAAUGAUGCACCACGGGAUUUAAUGACAACAUUAAAAAAAUGUAAGAACUCAAUUUUAUAUUAAUGGAUUGCAAUUAUAUUACACGAAUAAUUUUGUUUAAAUUAUUUCUAUACUUAAUGAAUAUUAUUUCAGUGGGUAGGUAUAUUUAAGAAUUUUUAGGCACAGAUAUCUUAUGGAUUAUUAAUCGCAUCGAAUUUAUACAUAAAAUGCACUAUACGGUAAUAGUAUAAACUGCAUCUUGAUGGCUACUAUAAAAUUAUAGUGAACCGGUUGCCGAGAGGCAACAUAGUCCAGUCCUAAAGUGGUUAUAAUAUUAUAAUAUACCCAGUCGAAUGAUUUAUUCACAACCACGUGUGCUGCAUUAUUAUCGGACCUUCCGGUCGCGAUCUUUCGUACAGAGUAGUGAUGUUAUGCACAUAUGUAUAUAAUACAUACUAAGCUAUAUUGUACCUAUAUACAUAUAACUGUUCAAGUCAAAAGUUGUUUCACGACGGGUCUAGUCGGUCUAGAGAACUGCACGAUUAUAAAAUGGUACGUAUAUAUAAACCAAAAAAAGUACCUGCCAUAUAACGAGAGGUUAUUUGGAUCGAUACACUGCAUGUGAUAGAUAUCGUGUUAUUUUGAAAGUGGCGAAUUCAAACUUUUUGCACUUUUCGAAUGCCGGCUGCAUUAAAAUAAAAAUCAAAGGGUAUGCAUAAUAUUCAAUAAAGACAGAAAACUAAAUAAUGGAUUUUUUCGUACUACGCGCCUUACGCGUUAUACUACAUAUUAUUACACUGAACCUUCACAAACCAUGCUACACAAUUAUCACUAUAACGUUAAAUGUCUUUAAUCAUAAUGCAGAAGUCUAUAAAUGUUUAGAGCUGUAUUAACAGAUGUUUUGAUAGUUCAUUUGAUAAGUACCUACAAUAAAUCAAUUAUUUAAAAUAGACCACUUUUGAUUUUAGAUUAUUGUAAGGGGCAGUUUUAGAAUAAUAUAAGUAAUAUGAGCUUUUUUUUUGGUUUUUUAGAAUUUAUGGAAGAAGUGUUUAUAUUUUUUUAGAAUUUAACAUAUGAUUUUUAUACUAUGAAAAAUAAAAUAUCAAAAAAUAAUUUCUAUAAAGAGAUUAAUGCAAUUUUUUUAUAUUUAUAUUGUAUAUAGUAUAUAGUAAGUAUUGUGAUUGUUAGCUUUAAAAGCUGUAUCUGAAAUAAUAUAAGUGCAUUGGUAAGCUAUUUACUAUAUAGCUAACCGUCUUAUAAACGUGUUACGUAGACAAAUUAAAUUCAGAAGUUAACAUUUAGUUUCAUUAGUUUUAGUACCUAUUAGAAUUAAUUUACGC
Long non-coding RNA from Aphis gossypii (cotton aphid), 2157 nucleotides. RefSeq lists it as uncharacterized. The transcript has 3 exons. NCBI's taxonomy places the organism in Eukaryota, Metazoa, Arthropoda, Insecta, Hemiptera, Aphididae. The record is from RefSeq and is a predicted model, not a curated record.